GCCGGCAGCUAGCUCUCUGCAACUCUCACAUGGUCGCCCACUGAAACUAAGCAGGGCUGCGCCCGGUCAGUACCUGGAUGGGAGACCACUUGGGAAAGCUAGGUUGCUGCCGGAA
RNAcentral lists this ribosomal RNA (115 nucleotides) under Danio rerio (zebrafish). Lineage: Eukaryota; Metazoa; Chordata; Actinopteri; Cypriniformes; Danionidae. The record is from RNAcentral.